RNAcentral lists this long non-coding RNA (1217 nucleotides) under Homo sapiens (human). RNAcentral's name for it is "HSALNT0394127". The record is from RNAcentral. Lineage: Eukaryota; Metazoa; Chordata; Mammalia; Primates; Hominidae.
AGGGGACAGAGUCAUGCAGGCCAAAUGAGAAUUCAACUGUCCAGAUAGAAAGGUGGACAUGGAAAAAUUGGGCUUUGCAAAUGGUCACCCAAUUCUUGCCUUCCUGGUCUCCAGAUCACCCUUCCUAUACCGCCACUCUGGAGAAAGAAGUACAGAACGCUAACAAGCACUCACAGUGUGUGCUACCCUUCUGCAUGGUGGAAUUGUGGGGAAGUAACUACUAGCCAGAGACUACCUCAAGGCCUCUUUCAUCAAGGAGAGGCCCAUAUGAUUAGUUUUCACCAGUGAGCUAGAUACAGAGGACCUAACAUACAACUCAGAGUCCCUAGAAGAUGGAGAAAACACAGACAAUUGGCAGAGGAGAUGAGCAUGUGAUUAUUGUUACCACUUGUCUGGAAGCAACCAGAAUGGAGUGGGGAAGACUCAAGGAGGAGAUCUUCACAGGACUCACCUCUCAUCACAGCUCCCGUGUGGUUGUAAUCACCCCAGAGGGAAAAAUAAUUUCGGUUUUUUAUGGUUUAAUUAUUGGUGAUAGCAGCUGUUUUGAAGACACAAACACAGAAGCAAGUUCUAGAACAUACUCACAGUUUCCUUGGUCACAGUGUUGUCAGUGGUUCUAUAAAGGUCUUAUGAAUCUCUACUUAGUUGACCACAAGUAGUAAGCAAGAAACAAUCCUGUAAAGAGAAUGGAGGUCAGAAUAAAGAAGCCUUGAGGGUUUAAAUCGCUUCUUGAAAAGAAAUGCCCGUGUGUCAAGGAGCUAAGGGAGACCAGCCCAGGAGGAGCUGAAUCCUGCCAACAAUCACUUGAGUGAACUUGAGAGUGAAUCCUCUCCAUGUUAAGCCUUGAGGUGAUUGUAGCUCCAUCAAAUACCUUCAUUGUAGCCUUGUGAGAGAUCUGAGUCAGAGGAUGGAGUUAAGCCAAGCCCAGAUUCCAGACCCUCAGAAACUUGAAAGCGGAAUACCUGGUUAUCCGGAGGUCACUGUCUCCACACAGAGUGGUGUCCUUGAUGCUAGCUUGGGGCAAAGAAGCCAGGCCAGCUUGUGGUUGCAAUAGGAAUAGAAGAGACUUCCUUACUCCAAUCCCACCCUACCCCCUCAUCCUGCCUCAACCAGUCAUGCAGAGAGAUGCUGAAUGGCUGCCUGCUCUCAGGGGAAUGAUUUGUGGAGGUUUAAUUAAAAUAAUUUAAUCAAUCAAAUCCAACAAAUAUUCGCUGAGU